UACAGAGGGGGCAAGCGUUAUUCGGAAUUAUUGGGCGUAAAGGGCGCGUAGGCGGCCUGGCAAGUGGAAGGUGAAAUCCCUCGGCUUAACCGAGGAACUGCCUUCCAAACUGCUUGGCUUGAGUCCGGGAGAGGUGAGUGGAAUUCCAGGUGUAGCGGUGAAAUGCGUAGAUAUCUGGAGGAACACCGGUGGCGAAGGCGGCAUCCUGGACCGGCAUUGACGCUGAGGAGCGAAAGCCAGGGGAGCAAACGGG
This 253-nucleotide ribosomal RNA is filed under the name uncultured bacterium. RNAcentral's name for it is "partial 16S ribosomal RNA". It matches the Rfam family "Bacterial small subunit ribosomal RNA", at positions 524 to 776 of the family's 1533-position model. The record is from RNAcentral.